GAUGAACGCUGGCGGCGUGCCUAAUACAUGCAAGUCGAGCGAACGGACGAGAAGCUUGCUUCUCUGAUGUUAGCGGCGGACGGGUGAGUAACACGUGGAUAACCUACCUAUAAGACUGGGAUAACUUCGGGAAACCGGAGCUAAUACCGGAUAAUAUUUUGAACCGCAUGGUUCAAAAGUGAAAGACGGUCUUGCUGUCACUUAUAGAUGGAUCCGCGCUGCAUUAGCUAGUUGGUAAGGUAACGGCUUACCAAGGCAACGAUGCAUAGCCGACCUGAGAGGGUGAUCGGCCACACUGGAACUGAGACACGGUCCAGACUCCUACGGGAGGCAGCAGUAGGGAAUCUUCCGCAAUGGGCGAAAGCCUGACGGAGCAACGCCGCGUGAGUGAUGAAGGUCUUCGGAUCGUAAAACUCUGUUAUUAGGGAAGAACAUAUGUGUAAGUAACUGUGCACAUCUUGACGGUACCUAAUCAGAAAGCCACGGCUAACUACGUGCCAGCAGCCGCGGUAAUACGUAGGUGGCAAGCGUUAUCCGGAAUUAUUGGGCGUAAAGCGCGCGUAGGCGGUUUUUUAAGUCUGAUGUGAAAGCCCACGGCUCAACCGUGGAGGGUCAUUGGAAACUGGAAAACUUGAGUGCAGAAGAGGAAAGUGGAAUUCCAUGUGUAGCGGUGAAAUGCGCAGAGAUAUGGAGGAACACCAGUGGCGAAGGCGACUUUCUGGUCUGUAACUGACGCUGAUGUGCGAAAGCGUGGGGAUCAAACAGGAUUAGAUACCCUGGUAGUCCACGCCGUAAACGAUGAGUGCUAAGUGUUAGGGGGUUUCCGCCCCUUAGUGCUGCAGCUAACGCAUUAAGCACUCCGCCUGGGGAGUACGACCGCAAGGUUGAAACUCAAAGGAAUUGACGGGGACCCGCACAAGCGGUGGAGCAUGUGGUUUAAUUCGAAGCAACGCGAAGAACCUUACCAAAUCUUGACAUCCUUUGACAACUCUAGAGAUAGAGCCUUCCCCUUCGGGGGACAAAGUGACAGGUGGUGCAUGGUUGUCGUCAGCUCGUGUCGUGAGAUGUUGGGUUAAGUCCCGCAACGAGCGCAACCCUUAAGCUUAGUUGCCAUCAUUAAGUUGGGCACUCUAAGUUGACUGCCGGUGACAAACCGGAGGAAGGUGGGGAUGACGUCAAAUCAUCAUGCCCCUUAUGAUUUGGGCUACACACGUGCUACAAUGGACAAUACAAAGGGCAGCGAAACCGCGAGGUCAAGCAAAUCCCAUAAAGUUGUUCUCAGUCCGGAUUGUAGUCUGCAACUCGACUACAUGAAGCUGGAAUCGCUAGUAAUCGUAGAUCAGCAUGCUACGGUGAAUACGUUCCCGGGUCU
This 1372-nucleotide ribosomal RNA is filed under the name uncultured bacterium. Its description in RNAcentral is "bacterial SSU rRNA". It matches the Rfam family "Bacterial small subunit ribosomal RNA", at positions 28 to 1381 of the family's 1533-position model. The record is from RNAcentral.